Xyrichtys novacula (pearly razorfish) is the source of this 1259-nucleotide non-coding RNA. The record is from the annotation of a GenBank genome assembly. Lineage: Eukaryota; Metazoa; Chordata; Actinopteri; Labriformes; Labridae.
GCAAGUGAACUGAACUUGUGCGUCGGUGUAGGCUACACUAUGUUCUUUAAAUGCACCUAACUUUAAACGUGCUCCGUGAUUUCUUUUAAAGAAAAAACAACUAGGAUAUGUACCACGAUGGUAGAGAGGACCGUUUCUGCAACAGCGACCUAUUCUUCCUUUGAAAAUUAAUCCAAAAGAAAACUUGAAACUGGUAAGUAGCUCCUUUAUGUACUAUUCUUAAUUUCGUGUUUAUAUUAUGGAUAAAUAGGCACUAAUCAUCUAUUUAUUUUUUAUACAUGUAUUUAUAGUCUAUAAAUGUAACAAGAAAUUAUUUUAAAACUUUUGACACAAAGUACAUCAGUAUAUUUCGGUAGGUAAAUGUAUACAUCGAUGACUGGGAGCCAGCAGUAAUUUAUAAAUCUGUGGUACAUUUUGUAACGGUGUCAGAACAAACGAGGCAGUCAUAUAUUUGUCAUUUUCUAAAAUUACAGUUUUACUACAGUAUUAUUAUUAAGGCUAUUUUUGUAAAUUUCAGUGAAAUGAAUCUGCACUCUUCAUGUUGACUUGUCUGAUUUAUUACUCUGCUAUAGCUCAGCCUUUGUCUUUGUUACUCCACAGAUCAGUCUGAGCUCUAAAAGCAGGUAAGCCACUGACUAACGCACAUUGUGCCAGUUGUCAGUUCCACUGUGCGUGUGACAGCGGCUAACCUGGUUUUGGGAAUACCUCUCAUUUUAUUUUCAUUUCUGGGCUUGUGCAAGACCAGCCACAGCCGGACCAAACAGACACCUACCUCCAAGCUUUCCCUGAGCAUGUGCACAUUUCUGGAACAGGCCUUCCCACCAUGACUGUUUAGCCAGUGGUCUCCAUGUGUAGACUACUUCCUCACAUGUGCACAUACUGUCCUCUUAUUUAGGGCAAAUUGCACUGCCCACGUAGAGGCAACCCCUUUAAUGCCACCCAUUGUCAAGACUAUUGGUGAGUGUUUUAUUCCUGUUUCUGUUUCAUCUUACAUGAUAAAAAUCCUGUUUUUCUCGCAAGUUCCAAAUUUGAGGUCAGAGGCCCUCCAGGGGCUCCUGGAAAAGUCCUCAUGGCCCUAAAAAAGGGAGCCUCGCCAGAAUAUGCCAAGCGUAGUUUUUGACACACUUUGAUUGUACAUUCUGUUCCACCAUUCAGCAGUUACUUUCUCUAAAAGAAAUGAAGACAUCAACUGUACUGUACCAUUUUUGUUUGUAAAAAGCACUCCCUAGACCAGGAAGUAAAAUUUCUAUUUAAAACAA